CAGGACGAACGCUGGCGGCAUGCCUAACACAUGCAAGUCGAACGGACGAGGGUAGCAAUACCCGAGUAGUGGCGAACGGGUGAGUAACACGUGAGCAACCUGCCCUUUACACUGGGAUAGCAGUUGGAAACGACUGAUAAUACCGGAUAAGACCACGCUCCCGCAUGGGAGAGGGGUCAAAGUGAUUUAGCGGUGAAGGAUGGGCUCGCGUCCAAUUAGCUAGUUUGGUGAGGUAACGGCCCACCAAGGCGACGAUUGGUAGCCGACUUGAGAGAGUGGAUCGGCCACACUGGGAACUGAGACACGGUCCAGACUCCUACGGGAGGCAGCAGUGGGGAAUAUUGGGCAAUGGAGGAAACUCUUACCCAGGCCAAUGCCGCGUGAGGGAUGGAGGUCCUAUGGAUUGUAAACCUCUUUGAUUAGGGACAAAGAAAGUGAUGGUACCUAAAGAACAAGCCCCGGCUAACUAUGUGCCAGCCGCAGC
RNAcentral lists this ribosomal RNA (484 nucleotides) under uncultured bacterium. RNAcentral describes it as "bacterial SSU rRNA". It matches the Rfam family "Bacterial small subunit ribosomal RNA", at positions 25 to 518 of the family's 1533-position model. The record is from RNAcentral.